RNAcentral lists this ribosomal RNA (488 nucleotides) under uncultured bacterium. RNAcentral describes it as "partial 16S ribosomal RNA". It matches the Rfam family "Bacterial small subunit ribosomal RNA", at positions 355 to 855 of the family's 1533-position model. The record is from RNAcentral.
UGGGGAAUAUUGGACAAUGGGGGCAACCCUGAUCCAGCCAUGCCGCGUGAGUGAUGAAGGGCCUUCGGGUUGUAAACGUCUCGUUUUAGGCGGGGACCUGAUGAUGACGGUACCCGCAGAAUAAGCCCCGGCUAACUUCGUGCCAGCAGCCGCGGUAAGACGAAGGGGGCUAGCGUUGUUCGGAAUUACUGGGCGUAAAGCGAGUGUAGGCGGUUGCCGUAGUCAGGUGCGAAAGCCUUGAGCUCAACUCAAGAAAUGCACUUGAUACUGGGUGACUAGAGGACCGGAGAGGAUAGUGGAAUUCCCAGUGUAGUGGUGAAAUACGUAGAGAUUGGGAAGAACACCAGUGGCGAAGGCGGCUAUCUGGACGGUUACUGACGCUAAGACUCGAAAGCGUGGGGAGCAAACAGGAUUAGAUACCCUGGUAGUCCACGCCGUAAACGAUGGGUGCUAGACGUUGGCGAGCUUGUCGUCAGUGUCGCAGCUAA